This is an RNA transcript of Myxocyprinus asiaticus (Chinese sucker), 2512 nucleotides long. It is a transcript of the gene named ALK and LTK ligand 2a-like, with no coding region annotated. The record is from RefSeq and is a predicted model, not a curated record. Lineage: Eukaryota; Metazoa; Chordata; Actinopteri; Cypriniformes; Catostomidae. The transcript has 6 exons.
UCCAGGUAAACAACGCCAAACAGUCUCGAAGAGAACGAGUUUAACAACGAUAUUAACCGGGCAAUGCAGUGUUGGUAUAAAAGGGCGCGCAGAUCACCGUCAAGUGUGACCGGGAUGGGAGCCAGUGAAAUGCUCCGUGUUCUCCUUUCCUUUGAGGGAGUGGUAUGAACGAAAGCAAGCACAAAUGUAUAGUACUCAGUUUUCACCGGUCUGUAAGGAUGAACGUUCCUCUCUCGCUAUUAUUACCAUUACGCAGAAUAAUUACAUCAGCUGAGGCCACUUCCGGGCAUCGAUCUGUAACGCGAAUCAAUCCUCUGGAGAUCUGAGAGGAUGAAAUGGUGAUAUAUGGUGGUGUGUGAGGGAAAAACCUGACUUUCAGUCACUCUCGGAGUUCCAGUCUGUGGAACUGUGUGGGACAGUUCCUGGUAUUGCCUACAUAUCUUCCUGCGCAGCUUUUUUAAGUGCUCUAAUGAGAUAAAGUGGGCAAGGGAAAAAAGUCAAAGGGAUGCUGCGGGUGAGAAACGGGAAUAUGAAGAUGUGGCGUUUGGGUAACGCGCUUCUAAUUAAAGACACGGCCAUGUAACCCCCUCGAGGGACAACUCCUUCCGUCUGCGAGCCUCAAUAAAUUGGCGAGAAUCGACGGCGAAUGUUUCAAGACUUCACGAACGAGCGGCGCGCGCUCAGUGCCCUCGAGGAGCUUUCGGGAGUUUUCACCUCAAGUCUCGGAAACUUCACAGGAGAGACCGACCACACACACUUCCCACGCUCGAGUAUAAUAAAGGACAAUUCUCUUUAAAGGAUAGCUCACUCUCUCUUCGUCUCUUCGCGUUCUCGAGACUGAGCGCACGAAACUCAACAAAAUUAAUCGCGCGCCUAAAUCGCCCCAAAGCGCAAAAGGACUGAGGAAAAGUAAAAACACCACGACACGACAGUCCACAGGCUGUACCACGAUCAAGGACUUGGGCAGUGCCGGACUUCUGCGCACUCUGAUUGCGGGAGCGAUGCGCGACUUGCGAGCUCCGGUGGUGGUCAUGGGGCUCGUAUUGUUAAUAUGCACUACCGUACACAGCGAUGCCAGCGCGAACAACGUCGACAACAAGGACGAGAAAACGUGGUUCAGACGGAUAAUAGACAUCAUGAGACAGAUGGAAAACAGCGCUGGUGUCGAGCGCGCGCAAUCAACCUCAGAGACAGAGCGCGCGCUACAGCCAAAGGACUCACAACAUAACCUCAAAACGAAGAAUGGAGAAACAAUUCUAGAAAUCUUUCCAAGAGACCUCCGAAAGAAAGAGAAAAUCAUAAAACACUUAACAGGUCCUCUUUAUUUCAGUCCAAAAUGCAGAAAGCAUGUCUACAGGCUUUACCACAACACAAGAGACUGCACAUUCCCUGCAUGUGCCCCAGAUAUACCCCAGCACAUGGACUUUUAACACAGAAAAAGUAUAGCCCACAAAUUCAGGACUCAUCCAGCUGACUAUCCUACUCAUCCAGCUUUACUCCUGUCCUCAGACUACAAAAGGUGUGCACGGCUCCUGACGCGACUGGCAGGGAGUCCGAUGUGUCAAGAGGGUUAACUUUACCAGCAUUUUUGAGGGGAAAAAUUUUCAGAUGCAUCCAAGUGCAAGAUUGACACAGCACUACAUUUCACUUCCUUUAUAAAGCAGGUUGAAGCCAAACCAGAGUGACCCAGAGAAGAAAAAAGCAGUCAACGUGCCUUUUGGACAAGAGAAUUCAAACCAACACGCAACAUUCCAUUUAAUCGGCACAUGGCGUCUAGAACACUGCUCUGCCUCUCCAGAGAAUAGCUAUAGAAAAGAAUUGAGAGCGGUAAAGGGAGAGAGAAUAAUGGGAUGCACUUGCCUGAGGACGGACUGCUGGACUCAGCUCAGAGCCAAUGUUAAAAUGCAUAUUAAGGACGUCAGAGAAUGAAAAAUAAAAACCAUCUGGCUCAUUGAGUUCUAAACCCUUCUGCCAAAUAAGAAAAACAAUUUUCCAGUAAUUUCACUAUGGAAAAAAGGGAUUGCCUUGGUUUUGCAUUUUGUUUCUCAUCAGAUAACGAGACUUUUACUGAUGUUUUUGUGUGACAUGCCUCAGUGGGGUUUACAAGUGUGACAUGCCUCAAUGGGGUUUACAAGUUGUGAUGUGAAAUCGUCAUUUAGUCCACUUCAGUGCUCAACUUUCCUCUGUUCUAGCACUGAAAACCCAUUAACUACAUGAAUGUUUAUUUUAUUCUGUUUGCCAGCAGAUGUUUAUGAGACAGGUUGAUAUUUGUGGUAAAUCUGUGAUCAAAAUGUUUUAGUUUUAGUGCAAGACUAUGAGUGUAUGACUGUGAAAUAUAUUCAGUAUAUUUUUACGUAUAUGAUGUAUAGUGACGAACUUAAUGUUAUGUAAAUAUUGUAAAAAUGAGACCUAAAAUCCCUCUACAAACAUAUAAGCAUCUGACGUAUGAAUGAAUCAUUGGGAUAUGUAUAUUUAAAAGAAAAUAUAUUUAAAUAAAUUAUGAUUGUUUAAA